UCCGGCCUGGAGACAGACGGAGACUCCGUGUCAAAAAAAAGAAAAAAAAGGUGGGGGUUGGGUCUUUGGGGUCCCAGAGAAGAAAUGGGUGGGACCUAAGGAGCCAUACUGGAAACCAUACUUUUGGGACAUGUUGCCCGAGAUGAGGAUGGAAUACCCCACCCGGCAGAAAUGGAGACCAGACAGCUGCACAGUCUUAUGUGAGGGUGGAUUAUGUGAGGUGGAUUAUGUGAGGGUGGAUUAUGUGAGGGGUGGAUUAUGUGAGGGUGGAUUAUGUGAGGUGGAUUAUGUGAGGUGGAUUAUGUGAAUGUGGGUGGAUUAUGUGAGGGUGGAUUAUGUGAGGGUGGAUUAUGUGAGGGUGGAUUAUGUGAGGGUGGAUUAUGUGAGGUGGAUUAUGUGAGGGUGAAUUAUGUGAGGGUGGAUUAUGUGAGGUGGAUUAUGUGAGGGUGGAUUAUGUGAGGUGGAUUAUGUGAGGGUGGAUUAUGUGAGGUGGAUUAUGUGAGGUGGAUUAUGUGAGUGUGGAUUAUGUGAGGGUGGGUGGAUUAUGCGAGGGUGGAUUAUGUGAGGUGGAUUAUGUGAGGGUGGAGUGGCUCUUAGCUUUUCUCUCUGAAUCACUUUCCCCACAAGAGGACAUUUAUCGUCUGGCCUGGUCUGACAGAUGGAAUAAGGCUUGACGUCGCUGGCUGCAGCAGAUGGAAACAAGGCAGGGGGCGUGGGGCCUCCAGCCGUGAGUCGUGGGUUCCCACGGGCAGCCGGUGAUAAAGAGCACUCCAGGCUCCGGAUGGGGUCCUCCAGGCCCAGCCCUGAGCACCGUCGGUCCCUCCCUUCUGUCUCCACAGUGAAGGGCACGUAAUAGCAUCAUCUGUUCAUCUUCAUAGAGUAUUGGCCUGGUGAGGGGCUGGGCUUACUGGAGGUCCGUGAGGCUGUCCUAAACCAUCACUGAGAACCAGGUGGUUAAGCUGCUGAGCGCAGAGUUAGUUUCUGACUCAGAAAGGUCUGAGGUGGGUGUGAAAUUUUGGAUUUCC
This 1025-nucleotide long non-coding RNA is filed under the name Homo sapiens (human). RNAcentral's name for it is "HSALNT0235779". The record is from RNAcentral. Lineage: Eukaryota; Metazoa; Chordata; Mammalia; Primates; Hominidae.